Oncorhynchus keta (chum salmon) is the source of this 1308-nucleotide long non-coding RNA. RefSeq lists it as uncharacterized. The transcript has 3 exons. Lineage: Eukaryota; Metazoa; Chordata; Actinopteri; Salmoniformes; Salmonidae. The record is from RefSeq and is a predicted model, not a curated record.
GUGUAGGAGGCGGCUAAGGGGAGGGAGCGGUUCAUGUCGACUCCAUUCUGUUAGCUUGGACUGCUGCUUGUUAUUGUGACCUUUCCCCUAUGUCUGUCCUAUGUAAAUCCUGCAUUGUGAAUCCACACACACACACACCUUUUCUGGUUCUAGAGGUCUGGAGGGUUCAGUGAAGUACUGAGAACUAUGACUGAGAGAAGGUAUACAGUAGGAUAAAAACACACGCCACAUUUAUACUUGGUCUAACGACGUGUCUGUAAACAAUUAGAAUGCGACAGGUGCGGCAGGGUAGCCUAGUGGUUAGAGUGUAGAGGCGGCAGGGUAGCCUAGUGGUUAGAGUGUAGAGGCGGCAGGGUAGCCUAGUGGUUAGAGUGUAGAGGUGGCAGGGUAGCCUAGUGGUUAGAGUGUAGAGGCGGCAGGGUAGCCUAGUGGUUAGAGUGUAGAGGCGGCAGGGUAGCCUAGUGGUUAGAGUGUAGAGGCGGCAGGGUAGCCUAGUGGUUAGAGUGUAGAGGCGGCAGGGUAGCCUAGUGGUUAGAGUGUAGAGGCGGCAGGGUAGCCUAGUGGUUAGAGUGUAGAGGCGGCAGGGUAGCCUAGUGGUUAGAGUGUAGAGGCGGCAGGGUAGCCUAGUGGUUAGAGUGUAGAGGCGGCAGGGUAGCCUAGUGGUUAGAGUGUAGAGGCGGCAGGGUAGCCUAGUGGUUAGAGUGUAGAGGCGGCAGGGUAGCCUAGUGGUUAGAGUGUAGAGGCGGCAGGGUAGCCUAGUGGUUAGAGUGUAGAGGCGGCAGGGUAGCCUAGUGGUUAGAGUGUAGAGGCGGCAGGGUAGCCUAGUGGUUAGAGCGUAGAGGCGGCAGGGUAGCCUAGUGGUUAGAGCGUAGAGGCGGCAGGGUAGCCUAGUGGUUAGAGCGUAGAGGCGGCAGGGUAGCCUAGUGGUUAGAGCGUAGAGGCGGCAGGGUAGCCUAGUGGUUAGAGCGUAGAGGCGGCAGGGUAGCCUAGUGGUUAGAGCGUAGAGGCGGCAGGGUAGCCUAGUGGUUAGAGCGUAGAGGCGGCAGGGUAGCCUAGUGGUUAGAGCGUUGGACUAGUAACCGGAAGGUUGCAAGUUCAAAUCCCCGAGCUGACAAGGUACAAAUCUGUCGUUCUGCCCCUGAACAGGCAGUUAACCCACUGUUCCUAGGCCGCCAUUGAAAAUAACAUGACAUGUCAAUAGACGACUGUAAACCAGCCUUUGCUGUAGAUGUUAAUCAAUUAUGUUAAAGUCAUCUGGUUUGAAGUGAAACUCUAGUGGAUGAGUGUGGUGUCUGUCCAUCCAUCUAA